AGCUCAGUGUAGAAAAAAAAAAAAAUGAAUC
Molecule: transfer RNA, 31 nt
Filed under: Cyanthillium hookerianum
Lineage: Eukaryota; Viridiplantae; Streptophyta; Magnoliopsida; Asterales; Asteraceae
Description: partial tRNA-Phe
Source: RNAcentral